UGGGGGUUUUGAAAUUGAUUGAAUUAAACUAAUACGGAAAGCAAUAAAGUAAAGUAAAUAAUUAAAGUAAAGAAGAUUCAAAUAUGAGAAAAGCUCUAGUUGAAGAAUUAGAUCCAGUUCAGUUGUUGGGAUUGAUCAUUGACACUUAGGUUCCUUUGUUUGAUUUAAUAAAUUAGUUAUGGAGGUGGAAGACGCUUUUCACCACCAUAUCCCUCCUUAAGCAUAAAUUAAUUAGGGAACGUCCUCUAACUAAUCACUAAUCAAC
This 265-nucleotide long non-coding RNA is filed under the name Manihot esculenta (cassava). Its description in RNAcentral is "long non-coding RNA (MESC_LNC006020)". The record is from RNAcentral. Lineage: Eukaryota; Viridiplantae; Streptophyta; Magnoliopsida; Malpighiales; Euphorbiaceae.